Molecule: long non-coding RNA, 1860 nt
Organism: Cygnus olor (mute swan)
Lineage: Eukaryota; Metazoa; Chordata; Aves; Anseriformes; Anatidae
Exons: 3
Source: RefSeq, a predicted model, not a curated record
UUUUCUGGGUUAGGAGCAACUGACACGCUCUUGGUUUCAUAGCUGUGAGCACUGCUUCAAAAGCAAAAUUCUGCAGAAGAAGCAUAACUCCUGAGAGGUUUUAACCUCCCGAUGCAUUCAGUGUCCUGUCAAAUGACAGCUUCAGUUCUGGAGGGCCCAAGAUAUGAAGUCUUCAAUGCCUCCGUGUUCUACCUCCUUGCUAGAAUGAGAAGGAUAUUCAGUAGUUCUGCAGAUUUUGAUUUUUCUAUGUAUGCUGGAAAUGAUGGCCACCAGCAGAAGAGACAGAGAUGGUACCUGGAGCUUCUCAGUUACUGGUGGCUUCAUGCAAGGCUAGCAGCAAAUACAUGUUCAGAUUCCGCCCAAAGUAAAAGGAACUCCAUGCAGAGACUGUAAAGGAAACAAAUGUGCAGAAAAAAGCAAUCAGAGAGGAAAGCUAAUGCAAGAAUGAACUAAGAAGUGUAUUGUAUGUGCUGUAUAUGGUAAAGACUGGACAAAGCAAAUUAAACACUUUCACUAGGACUAGCAUACUCGUUAAGGAAAUACAAAACUGUCAACAAGAAGAGAAAAUGUCAUGAAAUGUCAGCAGCAGAAUAGCUACAAAAUGAAAUGGAACAUUUUCCUUGGGAUAAAAGCCUCAUAAACUCCACGAAAUUCUUCCAAUCAAGUUCUAAAAGAACAAGAAUAAAGCCUGAGGGAGAAAAUGUCAAUGCUAAUAGACAGUCAAAUGGAAAACAGUCCUAUUGGGCAGAAAGAAAAAUAAAUGUAUCCAAAGUAACAUCCAAGCACAGACUGACCUGAGCGAAUGACCUGGUAUAGGAGUCUUCAAAUUUAGAGAUAACAAUUGCUUUUUUGAAUAGGAACACAGGCUGUAUUUGAUUUUUUUCAAAUUUUUGAAAUAUUUUUUUUAUGCAUGAUAAUACAGACAGACCAAAAAAAAAAAAAAAAGGGAAAAAAAAAGGCAUAGAGAAAAGCUCCUCUGGAAUCCAGUCUUUUCUAAAAUCUAUGUAAUUAAUUUUGUAGCGUGAGAUUAUAACUAUCAUAAGGACAAUUGGAAAAGGUACUAGCCAGUGAAGCAUUGUUUCUGCUUUUAAUUCAUGAAAUGGAGUUACUAAUGGACUAACUAAUUCCUAUUCCUAUUUCCUUUUCAAAUACAUAAGAAGUAUAGGCAGUGGGGUCAGAGACUGAGGAACAGUUCACAGUCUAAGUAAAUCUGCACUGAAGUUGCAUGAAAAGAAGACAAAGUGUGUACUAUUGACAAUGAACACAUCCUGAGUAAGAAUCUAUGCUUGAAUUUCUGGGCAAGUGCUUCUCUGUGCUGUGACAGAACAGGUGGGCUGUGCGUCCAACCCCAGGUAUGCUUGUAACGCAGGUGUUUUUAUGGCUGUAAAUUCAGUGCAAUGAACAGUAGCAUCUAUAAAUGUACAGAGGAGAAACCCCAAAGCAUUGUACCCUUUUCUGUGCACCUGAAUUUCCCCGAAGUUGUAAUUAUUUUUUAUUCGCCCCAGAGAAAGUUUGUGUGUAAAUUAACACAGGUUCCAGUGUGAAGCAUCAUUCAUACAGAAGUAACAGUGAGAAAAUAUCAGCAUAGCAGUAUAACUUUACAUAGAAUGUUUUCAUUAUUCUCUGAGAAUCUGAGUUUUUUUUGUUUUGUUUAUGUUGUUUAUUUAUUUAUUUAUUUUUCAAAUGAAUAUGGUCUAUUUUGUGAAUCCAAACUUUAGAUGGCACAGAGACAUUGGGUUACUUGGUUCAGUGAAAAUGAUAGUUCCUUCAGGCCUAAAUAGUUGUUCAUCUUCAGGAAGCAGAGUAAAUUGUGUUAUGAAAAUUUAUAUGGUGCGUGGUAAUGUAUCAAAAUGGCCAAAC